RNAcentral lists this ribosomal RNA (497 nucleotides) under uncultured bacterium. RNAcentral's name for it is "partial 16S ribosomal RNA". It matches the Rfam family "Bacterial small subunit ribosomal RNA", at positions 28 to 507 of the family's 1533-position model. The record is from RNAcentral.
GAUGAACGCUGGCGGCGUGCCUAAUACAUGCAAGUCGAGCGAACGGACGAGAAGCUUGCUUUUCUGAUGUUAGCGGCGGACGGGUGAGUAACACGUGGAUAACCUACCUAUAAGACUGGGAUAACUUCGGGAAACCGGAGCUAAUACCGGAUAAUAUUUUGAACCGCAUGGUUCAAAAGUGAAAGACGGUCUUGCUGUCACUUAUAGAUGGAUCCGCGCUGCAUCAGCUAGUUGGUAAGGUAACGGCUUACCAAGGCAACGAUACAUAGCCGACCUGAGAGGGUGAUCGGCCACACUGGAACUGAGACACGGUCCAGACUCCUACGGGAGGCAGCAGUAGGGAAUCUUCCGCAAUGGGCGAAAGCCUGACGGAGCAACGCCGCGUGAGUGAUGAAGGUCUUCGGAUCGUAAAACUCUGUUAUUAGGGAAGAACAUAUGUGUAAGUAACUGUGCACAUCUUGACGGUACCUAAUCAGAAAGCCACGGCUAACUACGUG